ACGGGGUGUUAGGGCACGACACCGGAGAGGGAGCCUGAGAAACGGCUACCACAUCCAAGGAUGGCAGCAGGCGCGCAAAUUACCCAAUCCCGACACGGGGAGGWAGUGACAAUAAAUUAACAAUACGGGGUUCUUUCGGAUCUCGUAAUUGGAAUGAGUACAAUUUAAAUCUCUUAACGAGGAACAAUUGGAGGGCAAGUCUGGUGCCAGCAGCCGCGGUAAUUCCAGCUCCAAUAGCGUAUAUUAAAGUUGUUGCAGUUAAAAAGCUCGUAGUUGAAUUUCGGGGUUAGUAGAUUGGUCAUGCCAUCGGUAUGUACUGGUCUCACUGAUUCCUCCUUCCUGAUGAGCCGUAAUGCCAUUAAUUUGGUGUUGCGGGGAAUUUGGACUGUUACUUUGAAAAAAUUAGAGUGUUUAAAGCAAGCUAACGCUUGAAUACAUUAGCAUGGAAUAAUGAAAUAGGACGUUCGAUCCUAUUUUGUUGGKUUUCUAGGAUUGACGUAAUGAUUAAUAGGRAUAGUUGGGGGGCAUUAUAUUCAUUUGUCAGAGGUGRAAUUUCUUGGAUUUAUUGAAGA
RNAcentral lists this ribosomal RNA (572 nucleotides) under uncultured Rhizophagus. RNAcentral's name for it is "SSU rRNA". It matches the Rfam family "Eukaryotic small subunit ribosomal RNA", at positions 364 to 946 of the family's 1831-position model. Lineage: Eukaryota; Fungi; Glomeromycota; Glomeromycetes; Glomerales; Glomeraceae. The record is from RNAcentral.